UGUUAUCAGCGAUUAUUAUUGAGUGUGCCUUAUCGAGAUUGAGUAUGCGAAUUGUUAAUGUGGUAUUACCUCCGUAUUAACAUGUCGAACUUGUUUAAAUCAUAUAAUGAAAUGCUUCGUUUUUAUAUGAGUGGUCAAUAGAUUAGAUUAUCAUGGGUAACCGUACGUAAUCUGCUAGCUCACAUGUGUUUCAAUUAGGUAACUGGUGCGCUGUUGUAUAUUUCGGCCAAUAAAGAGAGAAUGGGUAAAGUUCACAAACGGACUUUCGGGGAAAACGUGCACAACUAAUUUUUUAAGAACCAGAUUAUAGUUAAAUAUGGAGGGCAGAUACUUCAACCACCAAAUGAAGACGCUUACUUCGAUGCUCUCAGAGUAUGAUAAUGAAACGCUCUGCUUCGGAAGUUCCUUAUGUGGCCUUCAGCAAUCAUUUAAGGGGUUAUAUACAGUUAAAAUUUUCCAAAAAGAGCGCUUGGAAGUGCAAGGACAAAUUUUAAACUCGGUUUUUCAAAAUGGUGUUUUCAAAGUAAAAAAAAAAAUGGAAAAUUAGCUUUUUUCGAUCUUUUAACUGUAUAUAACUCCUUAAGUGUUUAUAUGCUCCGAUUUGAAGUUGAUCGUACAAAUAGUUUUAGCUUUGUGUAAUUUGCUCCCAAAGUUUUAAAAGCGUUUUUCUUGAAACAUUGUUUUCAGAGUUGGUAAAGAAAAUUUCUGGACCGAAUGGGCCUGGAAAAUAGUUGGACCGAAUGAACCUUCUUCGAUCUAUUAGUCAGAUAAUGAUCGAAGUAGUAAGAUUUUUGAAGAUCAUUUCUAUUUUUUAGCCACUCUGAAGUGAAUUUUGCAAAAAUAAAAACAAUUUUUUUUGGGAAGCGGCCAUUUUGUCAAAAAUCAUAAUUUUGACUAGCCAUUUGAUGAUUAAAUAAUGAUCUAUUGUAAUAAAAAAUGUUUUUGGUUUUUUGAUUUGAGAUAAUUUUAAGCAGCGAUAACUUCUUCACCGCCAAACGACUUUGUUGUUGUUACAUAUAGCGGCAGAAAACAUUCUUGAAAUAAUUUCGAAGAAUGAUGUUGAGUUGACAGUAACCGUAACCGAUUUUUUAUACAGCCAAGCUUGGACCCGACUGUCGUGGGAAUUUCGGAGGAACUCCUGUACG
This is a long non-coding RNA of Bactrocera tryoni, 1145 nucleotides long. RefSeq lists it as uncharacterized. Lineage: Eukaryota; Metazoa; Arthropoda; Insecta; Diptera; Tephritidae. The record is from RefSeq and is a predicted model, not a curated record. The transcript is spliced from 3 exons.